Non-coding RNA from Gossypium raimondii (Peruvian cotton), 144 nucleotides. Lineage: Eukaryota; Viridiplantae; Streptophyta; Magnoliopsida; Malvales; Malvaceae. The record is from Rfam.
UAUUAAAAAUUUCAUCCAGUUUUACUAUUAAAAAUGGUGUGACUAAUGGAAUAACCAAACAGUUACAUGUGAUGUGCUACGUGUACCUUACACUAACGUAUAGGAAUCAAUUUUUAAUAGUAGAAAUAGAUGAAAUUUUUAACA